AAUAAAGAAAAAAAGAACUUCUAAGGAUAUCAUAAAUAAUAUUAUUCGUCUUUGACUCCUUUUAUUUUAUUUUUGCUCAUUAUACAUGGAAAUACUAUAUAAUUAAAGCUAAUCCUUCCUUCCCAAAUCCAAUUGCUUCAUUUUUCUCCUAAAAAAUGAAUUAAACAACAAACAUCUUUUAUUUUCUUCUCUUCCUUUAUAGUCAAUUACAGUUUAUUAGCCUUCUACAUAAAUGAAAUCUUUUAUUUGCUCAGACAACAAAGCACAAAUCAAUCUUGAAGAGAGAUACUAUGAAAGUCAAGAUGAGUAUGAGUACCAUUAAUAAGAUAAGCCUGAUCAACAUAUUACAAGAGAACAUGAAAGCAAUUGAGUUUAGAUAAAGCAAUUGAUCGAUGAAUUAUUAAAACUCAGUCUGACAGAGAAAACUGAUUAAAUGCCUCGAUACAUUGGCUGUG
Molecule: long non-coding RNA, 455 nt
Filed under: Coffea arabica (coffee)
Lineage: Eukaryota; Viridiplantae; Streptophyta; Magnoliopsida; Gentianales; Rubiaceae
Description: long non-coding RNA (CARA_LNC004354)
Source: RNAcentral